Molecule: ribosomal RNA, 472 nt
Filed under: uncultured bacterium
Lineage: Bacteria
Description: SSU rRNA
Rfam family: Bacterial small subunit ribosomal RNA
Source: RNAcentral
AGGACGAACGCUGGCGGCGUGCUUAACACAUGCAAGUCGAGCGGAAAGGCCCUUCGGGGUACUCGAGCGGCGAACGGGUGAGUAACACGUGAGUAAUCUGCCCCUAGCUCUGGGAUAGCUCCGGGAAACCGGGAUUAAUACCAGAUACGACCACUUUAGACAUCUUCUGUGGUGGAAAGAACUUCGGCUAGGGAUGAACUCGCGGCCUAUCAGCUUGUUGGUGAGGUAACGGCUCACCAAGGCGACGACGGGUAGCCGGCCUGAGAGGGCGACCGGCCACACUGGGACUGAGACACGGCCCAGACUCCUACGGGAGGCAGCAGUGGGGAAUAUUGCGCAAUGGGCGAAAGCCUGACGCAGCGACGCCGCGUGGGGGAUGAAGGCCUUCGGGUUGUAACCCCUUUCAGCAGGGACGAAGCGAAAGUGACGGUACCUGCAGAAGAAGCGCGGCUAACUACGCGCCAGCAGCCGC